ACACACACACACACACACACACACACACACACACACAAAUACAGUUGGGCUGCCCUCUUUCACCAGCCCACCUCUGCCCAUUAGGUAGCCAUGGUCCAUUCUUCCAGGAGGCCAGUGAGGGGUCAGGUCAGCUCCCUAGGCCCUCCUAUCAGUACGGUCAUAGCAGCUGAGUGGCCAUAGGCAGGAUCCUGCUUUUAACUAUAUCUGAUGGAACAUUCCCACUGUAACGGUCCCUUCUUGGCUCCAGAAUACCUCCAGAUGGAUCUCUGGUGGACUACAAGACAGUUUCUAACAUGAUGACAGGGAAAGUGAUACAUGGCAAAUUACCAUAUCAGAGACGCAGACGUUCUCCCAGAGUGAUCGGAUGUGAAUUCCCUAUGUCCCAACUUUUGUCCUAGAAAUAAAGAGGGCAGGCUGCGGAGGGCCCUCACAGCUUUAAAACUGCAACAAGAAGCAGUUGUCAACGUGGAGGACAGAUGCUUAACACUUAAGGCCAAGGUAGGCACUUACACAGGGUCAACCCCUCCUAUAUGAUUGCUACUGAGAAUGCUGCACAGCUGUCUUGCUUCAGGUGCUAAGGGAAGUUGACUUGGGCAUGCUUUUAUUUGUCUAGGAAGAAGGCAAUGAGAAAUGGAUAUGCCAGUUUAUUAAAAGCGUGACUGGGGUCAACCGAGGCUUCAGUGGAGUUAGCUAUCAGUGCUACAGACCUGCCUUCAUCACUGCUAUAGCAAGGCCUCAAGCUCCACGGGGACGGACAUGAUGUUAGCUUUGAGUCAGGAGAAGACAGAAACAGAGCACAUCACAACCACACUCAGAGAGCACAGCAAGUACCAGCUCCAACUUCAGUCUUCUACCACAUUCUAACCUCAAAUAUCUACCAAGCAGCUUCCAAUCACUGUGAAACAGGACUUGGGAUCCUAGCUUAUAGCCCAAUAAGCCGGCACAGGACUGGGAUCUCCAAGACUGCAGUCCCCUGGAGGCAGCUCCACUGGUGGAAAGCUUUCCCUGAGCAAAGACGUC
This 1020-nucleotide small RNA is filed under the name Rattus norvegicus (Norway rat). RNAcentral describes it as "uncharacterized LOC108352569". Lineage: Eukaryota; Metazoa; Chordata; Mammalia; Rodentia; Muridae. The record is from RNAcentral.